Molecule: long non-coding RNA, 6314 nt
Organism: Quercus lobata
Lineage: Eukaryota; Viridiplantae; Streptophyta; Magnoliopsida; Fagales; Fagaceae
Exons: 2
Source: RefSeq, a predicted model, not a curated record
UUUUUUUUUUUUUGGGCUUUCUGGGUACUUUGAAUUUCUGAUUCUUUUGUUCUUCUCGGGCUUUAUUUUGUCUUUUGCUUUGGAGUUAAAAUACGUAAAACUGAGUUUUAGCAUCUGGGUUCUUUUCUAACUAAUGGUAUUAGCCGAUAUGUGCUGAAUUGUUUUGAGUUUUGGAAUUUUGGGCAUGUGAAAAACUAUAGAACUAUUUGGGGGUGUUUUGGGUAUGUUAAAUUUGUUGAAUUUUUUGGGGUAUCUUUAUUUCUAUUUUUGGGUUACCUGGUGCUUUGCCAUCUGGGUAUAUGAGAAUUUUGCUUUUAGGGAAAUUAAAAUUCAAUUCUUUUUAAUUGAAUUUAAUUUCUUUUUGUAAUUUUUUCAUGGAUUCUGAUUUGUCAAUGGUUCUGUGGUGAUAGAAACUUAAUUGGAGUGUGAUAGUUAGUUUUAGAGAGGAAGGAAGAAGUGGGGACAAGUCUGAAGUAUUGGUGGCUAUGUUGAAGGAAGCAGUGGAUUUGGUAAUAGAUCUGAACAUUUUAAAACAUUUUUUCUGGUUGCUAAUUCUGCUUGUUUGUGGAAAUGGUUCUCUUGUGUUAAAAAUUUGAACUUUGUGAGUGUAGGAAUAGAUAACCGUUGAGGAAGUAUUGUACAAACUCUAGGUUUCUUCAUAAGAUUAGAUACUGCCUUUAAUUUAUCUUGAUCAGACACAACACUUCUACCUUUAACUUCAGCCCAGCAAUAUUAUAAUUUUUUGAUUGUUUAUCUUCAUGGUUAACCCUAGCUAGUUUGUGGAGUAUCAUUGCUGACCUCAAAAUUUAGGAUUAAGGCUUUGUUGUUGUAGGUGGUUAUAUUGCAAAUUCUGAAUGAGUAGGGGGAAAAUGAUCCUAUAUCAUUGUCAUUAUCAAUUUUUAGGUUCCUUUUACAUAUUUCAUUUAUGAAUAAUUGACUUAUAGUUGCUUUUUAUUUCUUGGAAAUGCAGUGACUGAUCUGUGCUGGUAGAGAUAUAAUAGAAAUUCAGCUUUCAAUUUAAGCAAAGCUAUGAUGGAAUUACUAUGAAUGUUCUUUGAUAGUGUUUUUCACGUUCCUUGCAUGUGCAUCAAAACUAGUAAUACAUAAAAAGAGAGACUUUUGCCUUGUGUGUAUUGUAAUAGAAAGGCUGUAGAAGGGCAAAAUGAUAGAGGAGAAGAAGAAGAAAAGAGGGAAACUGGCAACAGAAAUUCAGUGAUUAUUAUCUGCUUCAUCACCAAUUGUAGAGAAAGGGGCACAGGAGGAAUUCUUCUCACAAAUCGCAGAAACUCAGGAUUUUACGUUGUUAGUGGGGCAUUAGAUCUUUCAUGUAUUUCAAUUAAUCACAAAAUGAUUUGUUGAUUGAUGGAUUACAAUAUGCCUCCAUGCUUAGGAACUUGGAGGAAAGAGAGGAGGGAGAAGGGGAAAGGAAGGUUGCAAGUGAUAAUGAAUUGAAUUUCAGGUACUUGUUGAAAUGGCACUAAUUACACUAAUUACCACAUCAAUUUGUAAACAUUUUAUUAAAAAAAAUCUAGUAGUUUUAGCAUUUUUCUAAUUGCAUAUUAGCGCGUUAAAAGUUUGUUAGUGCCAAAUGGACAGCAAUUUGCAUUUUCAUUAAAAAAAAAUUAUUCAUAUUCUGGCCCCCCUCAAUCAAAAUCCUGGUUCCAUCCCUAGCCUUUAGGGUUAUUAAAAGUUUUUAUUAAUAGAAUUUAAUUUCUUAUCUAAUUUUUUCAUGUGAAAAUGCUUGUGAAUAUCAUGUGAAAUGCUAUCCCAAGUGCCAUGCUCAUAUAGUGUACAAACUAAAGAUGGUCCAGUAUGCACUUUCAUGCUUGGGAAUUAUGUGGUCUAUAGUGUAUAAUCUAUACCACUCAAAUAAUUGUGUAUUGCAUUUGCAUACAAGACUCACAGUCUUGGGUAACCCAUAGUCUAUAGAUAGGAGAUAUAGCCUCCUCUGGGCUGAAUCUUGCUGCUAGCAGUGACCAGCAACUCUUCCCUUGCUGUAAUGAGUAAUUUGCCCUCACCUAUAUAUAUAUAUAUAUAUAUAUAUAUAUAUAUUAGCCUGCUUCAUCCAAUUUUUUUUUUUUUUUCAAUCAUCUAGAUCUGAACUAUUGUUGUGCUGAAUGCCUCCUGACAAUUAUUUUUAUGAUGAAUGUUGUCUAAUGAAUUGAAGAAUGUUAGGAAAAGAAACACUGUUGGAAGCUAAUACAAUUUCCAUAGCAUCUAGUUUCACAGUUAAAUAAUGGAUUCCUAACUCCCUAGCUAAUAUCUAACUGCCCAAACUUCAGCGUUGUUUUACAUUUGUAGUUGAACACAAAACCAGUGGCAAUAGUUGCUUGUGUCUAAACAGUGGGUGGAAGGUAUUGUAAGUUUGUAACAGCAAGCACUUAGAGCCAUUUGUACUUAGUAUGUUAGUUGGUUAGAUUGCCAAUUACCAAUUAGGUUAAGUCUUUAAUUGAGCCAACCCAGUGGCUGCUAGUAUAGUGCAGCUUGUAUAAAUAGCAGAUUAGGCUCUCCGCUCUCAUUUGUAUUCAGUUUUUGUAUGUGAAUGAAAUAAGUCUUUUAGAGCUUUUCUUGAACCUUGCAAAGUUAGAGCUUUUCUUGAACUUUGCAAAGGUGCCUAACCAACUGUCAAUUUGUUCUAAGUAACUCACAUUCCUUUUAGUUCAAAUUCAUAUCACAGCCAAUCACUUUCCCUGCAUCAUUUGCCCAAUAGCUCAGUGGAAUCCGUUUACCCAGUUACCCUCUGCAUUUCGAAUAAGUCCACCCCACCAGCCUGGCCUGUGCUCCCCCAGGAGGAUGAUAGAGACAGACACAAAUCCAACAACAUCGUUUCAGGAAAUCCAACUACAACAAUGCUGUUUCAGUAAAACUUAAUACAAACAGAAGCAUUUCAUACAAGUGCCAAAGCCCCAAAUUGUGCUCUGUCUAAUUAUCCCCCUCAGGUUUAACACGUGGUGCAUUUAGUGGAAACAUGUGUUUAAUUACUAAUCACUGGCUGUCAAUCUGUUAAUAGUUCUGUUAGAGAAUUAGUUCUGGUUUACUACCUAAAUUGAUCUAAGCUUAAGCUUAUCCCAGUCCUAUAAAUAGGACUCUUGUAUUGCAUUACAGAGUAUGCUGCAUAAUAUCAGAUUCAGAUUUUUUCAAUCUCUCUCUCUCUCUCUCUGUUUUACUCUUUUGCACAUUCAAUCUCAAACUCUUUCAGUAUCCAUUGGCAUUGAGUUGAACCAGCCCACUGGAGGUCUUACCCAUUUCAGAAACAUAGUAGACCUGGCUGUAGAUGCAUGUUUUGAGGGUAAAUAGGCAAAGUUUCCAUUGCCUGACUUAAACUUAGAUACUGUACUCUCAGGUUAGGGCAUUUAUUGCUGAAUAUUACAGCAUUUCUAUGCAGCCAAAGAUUCCAUAUGCCUGUCAAAAACAUGAUAGCCCAAUGGAUAGAAGAUUGAGCAUGAAUAAUAGAACAAUUGCCAUUCCUUUUGAACCAGGAAUGACAGGGGUUUCCCAAGAGAACCCCGUUUCAUUCUUGUGGAACACAUGAACAAAAAAUAACUCUAAUGGAAUUCUAUGAUCUACGCCACUCACAAUGGUUGUGUAUUGCAUACAGAACUCAGGGUUGGGUAAUCUAUAGAUUGGAGAUACAUUGCAGCCUCCUCUGGGCUGAAUCUUGCUGCUAGCGAUGACCAGAAACUCUUCCCUUUCUGUAAUGAGUAAUCUGCCCUCACCUAUUAAUAAUUUUUUUAUUAUAGCUUUGCUUCAUCCAAAUUUUUUUUCAGUCCUCUAGAUCUUAACUAUUGUUGUGCUGAAUAGGCCCCUACAGUUAUUUUUUUUUUUAUGGUGAAUGUUGUCUGAUGGAUUGAUGAAUAUCUAAUCUUAGAUUCAUGAGAUGUGCCAUUUAUAGGUUGCAUUUGUUAAUAGAUCUUGCUGUUUGAGUAUUAUUUUUGGUGAUUAUACUGUCAUUGGAUGCAACUGAUUAGCAACUGGACUAGACCAAUUGAUGUUAGUUUGAUUUGGAAUGUGAUAAUGGAACUGUGUUUUCUUUUAGUCUCAAAUUUUUUGUUUGGCUUUUGUUAUUUGCACUUUUAUAUGCCUUGUGGAGAAGUUACAUAUGCAGUGAUGGCAACGGGAAACUGAAACUUUCCUUGGUUCUAAAACAGAACAAGACAGAAUAUUUGUUAUGAAACAAGAAAUAAAUCUGAUGGAAUUUAUUUGUUGGAAGGUUUGCAACCAUUGUCUAUGGGAUUCUUGGUAUUUUGGCUUGCACUCUCCACACUGUUUAGUAACCUGGUUAAUGGAAGUGUUGCACUUCUGCCAGCACUCAGCUACCCUGAGACUGAGUUUUACAUGUGAUGAAUGAUUGGUGUCCUGGAAUGCUUUUUCUCUUUCUCCUUUUAAUUAUAAUUAUUCUGAAUUUUUUUUUGGGGGGGUUUAUUUCCAAAUAGCAACUAGUGAACCCAAACUUUGUGUAUUUGUUAAAUUUUAAAAACCUAGAACAUUGUUUAAUAACAAGUCUGAAUCCCUGCAUUUUAUUACUGUUAACCCUCAAGGGGUUGAUCAUCUCUUAAACAAUUAUAUGAUGUCAUUUGACUUCAUAAUUUAUGUUAGAAGUUAACUAUUAUGCCUUUUAGUCAUCUUGAGAUAGCCAUGCUUGCUAACAGAAUGUCUUAUUUUAUAGGUGAAAUAAGGUAAUAUGAUUGCUUAAAUUUGAUAACACUAGAAGUGCUCAAAGGAGGUUUUAAGUCAUGCCAGUCUCCAUCAUUUAGAUUUUGUUUUUUUUUUUUUUGCUGUGGUUUGUUCAACUCUUACCCUUAUUGUUGAUAAGAUUCUCCAUGGUACUAAGUACCAAUGAUCAUGGUAAGUUCUUGCAAGAAAUUGUUUCAAAAUGUGCUGCUCAAUUUUCUAUUAUUCCACUUGUUCCCAAUAUUUCUUCUCUGAAAAUUGCAAAUGAUUGUUCACAACCUAGGGAAAUAGGUGAACAUGGGAUUUUGUAGUGAAGUAUUGAGUACUUAAGUAAUAAGAUAGUCAUAUAUCUUUUGAGGAACUAUAGACCAUAGUAAUAGCUGUGCACGUAGUUAGAGACAACUUUUUUUUCUUCUUCUCCUCUGCUCCUUACUCUCUUUCAAUGUGAUCAGACAUUAAUUAUAUAUACAAGUGGUACAACAGCUAAACCUAAAGGAGUCUUCACCCUUACUGAAGCAUCACUGCACAGGUAUGCACACCAUGUAUCUCAUGUGUUUCAAUACUGUUUGUAAACUACUAUCCUUCAUGUGAAAGAUCUUAUUUUUGUUUGGUAUAACAUAUAUCUGGCCAAUAUGCUUGACUGUAUAUAAUUAUAUGUUUGGGGUGUCAAUAUUUAUCCAUGGACAUUAGUUGAUAUCAAAUGAAAAUCAUUCAUGUAGAUGACUCAUUAGGUAGAAAUCUAACUGUAGAUAAAUGCUCUUCAGAAUGUUUGAUCUGAACAUUUAUUUGUUAUUACCUGUUGUUAGCUAGACUUAUAGUACAAGUGAUGCUGAAAUCACCUUGAUUGAACUAGUGCUUGCAACCAUGUAAUCUGAUGUUUUUGUUUUUUGUUUUCUUUUAAUUAUAGUGUCUUAAUUAAUUUGUGAUUUUUAAAUUGAUGUUUGCCGCAAACAUUGACUGAAGCUUGGGUGUGUACAUACACGGAUCAAUUUUUGCAUUGCCUACCAUUACAUCAUAUCCAUCAUAUUUUACACAUUUAGAUUGCAAAGAAAUUUAUAGUUAGUCAAUCAUCAUACAAUUACAACUUGAGUGUAUGCCUUUCUUGGCUACUUGUGUGAGUUGCUGUAUAAAAUUUGAUUUGGAAUUUCAGUGUUAGUGAUCCUUAACUUAUAAGAUACAUUUUCAUGGCCUUUUUAAUGCUUUACUAGCCCCUCUGUAUGUGGGUUUAACGGUAAUUUAGUUUACUUUAUGUUUCUGUUAAAGUUCUUUUUGUUGCACAACUUUUAGUUGUAAUAUCUCCGAUCAUGUUAUAGAAGGUUGUGGGCAUCAUCGAUGUGUUGAAAUUUGAAAGGCUAUUCUUCAUUGUUUGAUGUGGUGUAUUUGGAGGAAAGAAAUGCAAGGAGCUUUGAUGGGUACGAGAGGAGAAUGAUAGAGCUGAAAGCUUUCUUUAUGAAGACACACUUCUUGAGUGGAUAUCAGGCUGCCAGCCUUAGGGGUGUUUUUCUUCUCUAAUUUAGUUGAACUUUUUGAUUUUUGUAAUUUUAGUGCUUUACCAUGAUGUCCUGGUAGUAUACUCCCUUGCAAUUAUUUUUAUUAAUAAAUUUUUAAUUACCUAUCAAAAAAGAGAUGAAGAAAGUUGUGUA